AUGGCCAUGUCAUCUUGCGAAGCAGAAUACAUAGUAGCAGCAAGAGCACCAAGUCAGGCUGUCUGGUUGAGCAAACUAUUGGCCGAGAUGAUCAUAGGAGAGGUACAGAGGGUGAAGCUGAAGGUUCACAACAGAUCUGCAUUUGAACUCAGCAAGAACCCAGUAGUCCAGUUUCCAGUACACCACAAGAGGAGCAAACACAUUGAUCUCAGGUAUCAUUACAUUCGUGAAUGUGUUAAGCCGGGCAAGGUGGACAUUGAGCACGUGCGAACCGGCGAUCAAGUUGCUGACAUUCUCAAUGCGUCGCUUGGAAGGGCUUAUUUCAUGGAACGCCGUCGCAAGCUCGGGAUCAGCCAGGUGCAGCAGAUUAGGCGGGUGAUUUGUUAG
Molecule: ribosomal RNA, 387 nt
Filed under: Triticum aestivum (bread wheat)
Lineage: Eukaryota; Viridiplantae; Streptophyta; Magnoliopsida; Poales; Poaceae
Description: partial small subunit ribosomal RNA
Source: RNAcentral